This 607-nucleotide ribosomal RNA is filed under the name uncultured bacterium. Its description in RNAcentral is "bacterial SSU rRNA". It matches the Rfam family "Bacterial small subunit ribosomal RNA", at positions 843 to 1450 of the family's 1533-position model. The record is from RNAcentral.
GUGGCGCAGCUAACGCACUAAGUUGACCGCCUGGGGAGUACGGCCGCAAGGUUAAAACUCAAAUGAAUUGACGGGGGCCCGCACAAGCGGUGGAGCAUGUGGUUUAAUUCGACGCAACGCGAAGAACCUUACCUGGCCUUGACAUGCAGAGAACUUUCCAGAGAUGGAUUGGUGCCUUCGGGAACUCUGACACAGGUGCUGCAUGGCCGUCGUCAGCUCGUGUCGUGAGAUGUUGGGUUAAGUCCCGUAACGAGCGCAACCCCUAUCCCUAGUUGCUAGCAGUUCGGCUGAGAACUCUAGGGAGACUGCCGGUGACAAACCGGAGGAAGGUGGGGAUGACGUCAGGUCAUCAUGGCCCUUACGGCCAGGGCUACACACGUGCUACAAUGGUGCGUACAGAGGGCUGCAAACCCGCGAGGGGGAGCUAAUCUCACAAAACGCAUCGUAGUCCGGAUCGGAGUCUGCAACUCGACUCCGUGAAGUCGGAAUCGCUAGUAAUCGCGAAUCAGAAUGCCGCGGUGAAUACGUUCCCGGGCCUUGUACACACCGCCCGUCACACCAUGGGAGUGGAUUGCACCAGAAGUGGUUAGUCUAACCUUCGGGAGGA